Phrynosoma platyrhinos (Desert horned lizard) is the source of this 74-nucleotide non-coding RNA. NCBI's taxonomy places the organism in Eukaryota, Metazoa, Chordata, Lepidosauria, Squamata, Phrynosomatidae. The record is from the annotation of a GenBank genome assembly.
UGCCCAAGUGUGGCAUAGUGGUUUGAGUGUUGGACUACAACUCUGGAGACCUGGGUUCGAUUCCAAGUGGGGAA